Cyprinus carpio (common carp) is the source of this 409-nucleotide long non-coding RNA. The record is from Ensembl. NCBI's taxonomy places the organism in Eukaryota, Metazoa, Chordata, Actinopteri, Cypriniformes, Cyprinidae.
AGACACCAAAAUCCCAGUGUUGAGCAGUUUAGCUGCAGUAUGUCAGUGGAGCGAGGAAUGGACUCUCCGUCUGAGAUUAGUCUCUCACAGAAACAGAGUGUAAUAUCAGGCUCACAUGUGUUCAGCUCUGUGUCUUUGAAGAGUGAUCGGUCAAAAAAACAAACAGUUGACUUCAGUGAGGAAACACCAUCAUCUAGCAAAAGUGUAAGAUCAGACUUGCAUGUGCUCAGCUCUGUGUCUGUGAAGAGUGACCAUUCAAAGAAUAGUAGCCCACCGUUCUUCAGUGAGAAAAAAGCAUCAUCUAUCAAAAGGUAUUUCAUGUUUCAUGUUAUUGGUCAAACAUAGACUAUUAGAAAAUAUCAGCAAACAUUUAUCACUAAACUAUUAAAAUCACUAAAUUAUUAUUCAA